Molecule: long non-coding RNA, 201 nt
Filed under: Malus domestica (apple)
Lineage: Eukaryota; Viridiplantae; Streptophyta; Magnoliopsida; Rosales; Rosaceae
Description: long non-coding RNA (MDOM_LNC012649)
Source: RNAcentral
GGUCCAAAAACGCUAAAGGACAAAUUGUUUUGCUCCUUUAAUGAAGUUUUUACAUUGUUUGAAUUUUGGGUUCUAGUGUAAUUACAUGAAGUAGUGGACUUUCGUAUUUUUACAAAGUGACCCCAAAAGUUUAUGUUUUUGCAAUAUAGCCCAAAUGUUGUGGUAAUUGCAUUUGGGCCCAAAUUUGGUUGAGAACAAAAU